UAAAUUUUACAUUGUUCGUCAAUACAAAUGAAAAAAAACUAAACACUAGAGUCCAUGAAUGUCACCUUCCAUGAAAUGAAUCAAAUCUAAAAAAAUGGAGUAAUUAAGAAAGUUAGAAGAAGAAGAAGAAAAGACUAACUAAUGCACAACCUGUCGCCAUAUAAAGCUAAGACAUUUUCUACAAGCAUCACUUCUACGAGUAGAAUCCUAACUACAAGAGCAUCAAGGAGCAAUAGGUCUAUAGGAACCACACAAUUUACCAUACAAGCAUCACUUAGACCAUACCAUGUCAAGGAAGGAAACAAAACAUGAUACAAGGACAUUAUAAACAAAAGUGUAGCUUCAAGUAUCUUUUGGCUGUUUUUUUGGCACACAUAUCUUAUCAAAUAGACCAACCAAUCAUAUAUUAAUACCAAAAAAUAAACAGAAGUGUUGCGGCAAGUAGUGCAGUAGGACUAUUCAGUUCAACAUGAUUUUAGUAGCUGAAACUUAGAAGUUUAGUUAACCACUUAGAGCACUAACUGAAGUAGGAAUCAUAUCAACUAGCACCAAAAAGCGCGGCGACACGCCGCGCCCGUAGAGGCAACGGUAGAUCGAUAAUGAUAAAGGGAUGGUCAAAUACAAUGGUUACAAUACUAAUUUUGGAAGGCAAAUUACAGUGCAAGAGUUUGUAGUAGUCUGCUAGAUGGCAAAUGCUAAAGCGG
This 704-nucleotide long non-coding RNA is filed under the name Hordeum vulgare. Its description in RNAcentral is "long non-coding RNA (HVUL_LNC000985)". Lineage: Eukaryota; Viridiplantae; Streptophyta; Magnoliopsida; Poales; Poaceae. The record is from RNAcentral.